CAGUCGUACCGGCGGAUAAUCAGCCUUUCGGGUGCGAUUCUGUGGGGCGUGAGGAGCUUAACCGCCUUCAUGUUUUGCAUAUUCGUGCACAUUUGGUGUACUUGUCCGUGUGGUGGGUUAACAUCAAUUUUGGUGGUCAUAAAAUGGCUGGAGGAAUGUAGCCUCGAUCUUGUAUUGAAGUGUUAUAGACUCUGGUAGAUGUGACG
This 206-nucleotide ribosomal RNA is filed under the name Rhizophagus irregularis. The record is from RNAcentral. Lineage: Eukaryota; Fungi; Glomeromycota; Glomeromycetes; Glomerales; Glomeraceae.